GGGUUGGUAUUCGAUCUACAUCCAACGAUUGUUCUUAGGUUGGAUUUUUUUUCUUGAAUUUAUGUUAGGGUUUUUGGAAUUUCAUAGUGAUCUGAUCUAUUAUUUGAAAUUUUUUUUGUUCGGCUGGUUUAAAUUAGAGGUUUUAGUCCUUUUUAGUAGUCAUUUCUUUUUUUCUUCUUGAUUUUGCUCUGAUUUAUGGGUUCAAUGGCAUUAACCUAUUGAUGUUC
RNAcentral lists this long non-coding RNA (227 nucleotides) under Elaeis guineensis (African oil palm). RNAcentral's name for it is "long non-coding RNA (EGUI_LNC068490)". The record is from RNAcentral. Lineage: Eukaryota; Viridiplantae; Streptophyta; Magnoliopsida; Arecales; Arecaceae.